This 572-nucleotide long non-coding RNA is filed under the name Zonotrichia albicollis (white-throated sparrow). Its description in RNAcentral is "lncRNA (ENSZALG00000012644.1)". Lineage: Eukaryota; Metazoa; Chordata; Aves; Passeriformes; Passerellidae. The record is from RNAcentral.
UCUUCUGGCUUCUUCGUUGCAGGGAUAAAGAGACUUUUUUCCAGGUUUCAGAUGCUGUCAUUGCCACCCACUGCGUGGUGACCAGUCUGUCUUGCCGUGUGGCUGUGCCAACUUGUAACCUUUUAUAGUCCCCCUUCAGUUACCUAUGCAAUUUUUGGCUGUCUUGGAAUCACAUCCCAAAAGGUUUAAGGCCUCAGCAGGUGAUAAGAAAGGCAUGAGAACAGGCUGGAAGGAGAAUGAACUACUGAGGGGCCCAAGCUGAAAGAAAUAAAGACUUCCAGUACAUCACCCUGACAGUAAAGAACCAAGAAAAAGUGAAGUCUGGUAACCGAAGUCUAUGUGCCCAAGUGACUACAGCAGUAAGACUGGACAGAGAGUCCCUUUCCUGGCAGAAGCUGGUCUUUCUGCGAGUCCAUGGAAAGUUCUUGAGCGGAGAGCUCUCCAUGCCUGCUGCUGCUAACAGGUUGGAAACCAUAUGGAAUUGUCUCAUACAUCAGUCAGAAGAAAGAAAGCCAGCAGAAGAAAUUUCAGUAUAUAAACCCACUUGGAGAUCCCACCAUAGAACAUUUUGA